This 253-nucleotide ribosomal RNA is filed under the name uncultured bacterium. Its description in RNAcentral is "partial 16S ribosomal RNA". It matches the Rfam family "Bacterial small subunit ribosomal RNA", at positions 524 to 776 of the family's 1533-position model. The record is from RNAcentral.
UACGGAGGGUGCAAGCGUUAUUCGGAAUGACUGGGCGUAAAGCGCACGCAGGCGGUUACUUAAGUCAGAUGUGAAAGCCCCGGGCUUAACCUGGGAAUUGCAUUUGAAACUGGGGAACUAGAGGAUGUCAGAGGAAGGCGGAAUUUGCAGUGUAGCGGUGAAAUGCGUUGAGAUUGGCAGGAACACCGAUGGCGAAGGCAGGCUUCUGGGGCAAUACUGACGCUCAUGUGCGAAAGCGUGGGGAGCAAACAGG